This 497-nucleotide ribosomal RNA is filed under the name uncultured bacterium. Its description in RNAcentral is "partial 16S ribosomal RNA". It matches the Rfam family "Bacterial small subunit ribosomal RNA", at positions 28 to 507 of the family's 1533-position model. The record is from RNAcentral.
GAUGAACGCUGGCGGCGUGCCUAAUACAUGCAAGUCGAGCGAACAGACGAGGAGCUUGCUCCUCUGACGUUAGCGGCGGACGGGUGAGUAACACGUGGAUAAACUACCUAUAAGACUGGGAUAACUUCGGGAAACCGGAGCUAAUACCGGAUAAUAUAUUGAACCGCAUGGUUCAAUAGUGAAAGACGGUUUUGCUGUCACUUAUAGAUGGAUCCGCGCCGCAUUAGCUAGUUGGUAAGGUAACGGCUUACCAAGGCGACGAUGCGUAGCCGACCUGAGAGGGUGAUCGGCCACACUGGAACUGAGACACGGUCCAGACUCCUACGGGAGGCAGCAGUAGGGAAUCUUCCGCAAUGGGCGAAAGCCUGACGGAGCAACGCCGCGUGAGUGAUGAAGGUCUUCGGAUCGUAAAACUCUGUUAUUAGGGAAGAACAAAUGUGUAAGUAACUAUGCACGUCUUGACGGUACCUAAUCAGAAAGCCACGGCUAACUACGUG